AUUGAACGCUGGCGGCAUGCCUUACACAUGCAAGUCGAACGGCAGCACGGGAGCAAUCCUGGUGGCGAGUGGCGAACGGGUGAGUAAUAUAUCGGAACGUGCCCAGUAGUGGGGGAUAGCCCGGCGAAAGCCGGAUUAAUACCGCAUACGACCUGAGGGUGAAAGCGGGGGAUCGCAAGACCUCGCGCUAUUGGAGCGGCCGAUGUCAGAUUAGCUAGUUGGUGGGGUAAAGGCCUACCAAGGCUACGAUCUGUAGUUGGUCUGAGAGGACGACCAGCUACACUGGGACUGAGACACGGCCCAGACUCCUACGGGAGGCAGCAGUGGGGAAUUUUGGACAAUGGGCGCAAGCCUGAUCCAGCAAUGCCGCGUGCAGGAAGAAGGCCU
RNAcentral lists this ribosomal RNA (387 nucleotides) under uncultured bacterium. RNAcentral describes it as "bacterial SSU rRNA". It matches the Rfam family "Bacterial small subunit ribosomal RNA", at positions 29 to 417 of the family's 1533-position model. The record is from RNAcentral.